UCUCCGUAGGUGAACCUGCGGAGGGAUCAUUACAAGCGACCCCGGUCUUACCACCGGGAUGUUCAUAACCCUUUGUUGUCCGACUCUGUUGCCUCCGGGGCGACCCUGCCUUCGGGCGGGGGCUCCGGGUGGACACUUCAAACUCUUGCGUAACUUUGCAGUCUGAGUAAACUUAAUUAAUAAAUUAAAACUUUUAACAACGGAUCUCUUGGUUCUG
RNAcentral lists this unclassified non-coding RNA (217 nucleotides) under plant metagenome. RNAcentral's name for it is "partial contains small subunit ribosomal RNA, internal transcribed spacer 1, and 5.8S ribosomal RNA". The record is from RNAcentral.